CGGUUAAGUCCGCUAACGAGCGCAACCCUCGCUGUGUGGUUACAAAGUGUCACACGGAACUGCCGGGUCAUAAACCGGAGGAAGGUGGGGAUGACGUCAAGUCAGCAUGGCCUUUAUAUCCUGGGCUACACACACGCUACAAUGGGAAGGGACAAUAGGUUGCGAAGCCGCGAGGUGGAGCCAAUCCAGUAAAACUUCCCUCAGUUCAGAUUGCAGGCUGCAACUCGCCUGCAUGAAGUUGGAGUUGCUAGUAAACGCAGGUCAGCCAUACUGCGUUGAAUACGUUCCCGGGGCUU
RNAcentral lists this ribosomal RNA (296 nucleotides) under uncultured Anaerolineaceae bacterium. Its description in RNAcentral is "partial 16S ribosomal RNA". It matches the Rfam family "Bacterial small subunit ribosomal RNA", at positions 1077 to 1382 of the family's 1533-position model. Lineage: Bacteria; Bacillati; Chloroflexota; Anaerolineae; Anaerolineales; Anaerolineaceae. The record is from RNAcentral.